RNAcentral lists this long non-coding RNA (3106 nucleotides) under Bemisia tabaci. RNAcentral describes it as "lncRNA ENSASIAIIG012123". The record is from RNAcentral. Lineage: Eukaryota; Metazoa; Arthropoda; Insecta; Hemiptera; Aleyrodidae.
AGAAAAAAUUGAAAAGUUGAAAUGUUCUGCGGAGGACCCACCGUUUAGGCGAGUGAAUGCGUCAUGAAAUCAUAUAUUUUUUUAAUCCUAUCCCUCUUUGCAACUGACGAGAGGAUCACUCGUGUGAUAUGAGUGGAAGAGUGAAGUCAGGGCGGAUCCAGCACACACUUACACCAAAUUUAACCAAUUAUGUGAUUGCAUUUUAAAACGACAUUAAGAUUUUUCAACAGAAGUAUUUCAUUAUUCAGUGACCGCAACAAAGCGUGUCCAACAUGUUUGCUGCACUGAAGUUUCGAUGGGUUUUGGUUUGGAUCUGCGUUAUUGUGUUUAGUUCUGCGACUCAAAGCACACAGGGGCCGGCUCAGUUCGUAACGCAACCGUCUAUUGCUACAGCAAAGUUGACGCAUCCUCAGCUGAAAACGAAGACUGAUGAUUACUUCCUUAACCCGGACGAUGACUCCAACAACCAAGAUCAGGGUCUUCAAAUCAGGACGUCAAAAACUCAAAAGAAUAGACCAUCCCCGGCGGCCAAACAAACGAAUAGAUUCCUCGGCCUACAGGGGAAAAAAUCCUCCAAACCCUCAACACCCAUAUCACCUUACAAAACAGACCCUGCGAUGGACGAACUGGCUCAGCAACUGGCGGGCGGCAUGAAACUCAACAAACCGCCACCUCCGGCGUCUCGCUCAUCAGGACGCUGGAACAAGAUCAGAGGCUUCACGAGGAAAUCUUUGAGAAGGAGUAAGAAGUACAUGAACUUAGGUUCUUUAUUAGGUUCUGGGACCAAAGAGGAACCUGUCAAACGUACCAGUUCAAUGUCAUCGGACUCCGAGAAUGAAGCCGGGUACAAUUCAGCUUAAAGUGUAGGCCACACUGAAAAAAAUCAUGGUGACAUCUAGUGAAAAUCUACUUGAUUUUUUACACAGUAAUACUAUCCCAUGAAAAUAACGAUAAUUAUAGUAGUAUUCACCAGAAAUCAAGUGACUGUUACCACAAUAUGGUAAAUGCUACCAUAUUGAGUCUGGUAUGUGUAACAAUUGCCACACUCGGAUCACUGUGUCAAAGCAUGCUAAAAUCUACCAUAUUUUUUUCAGUGCAUGGACAAUUAAACCGAGUACAUGGAUGAAGAGCGAAAUGGAAACAAGUAGUUAAGACCAAAAAAAUUUAAAAAUAUAUAAAAAAAAAUUAUUGCAAGUUAAUAUUUAUUAGAUUUAUUUUAAUUAGUAUAUUAAUGUCACCAUAAUAUCUGUCCCGUUGUAUUCUGAUCCAUACCAAAACACCAUGUAGUAACUCAUUACAUCAAGAUUCAUUCCAUUUUAUCCCGAUCCGUAAAAGCACGAUAAUUAGGGAAGGAAAUCAUCCAGAAACCAAAGUUAAGCCGAGGUCAUGACGUUUUGUGAUUGGCAGAUGGAUUGAUGGAUCUUUUAUAUUUUUUUUUAACGACUCACAGUUUUAAAGUCAAAACCUACAUUUUAACACAGUUUUCGUACUUUCAUAUUAUCUUUAAUUCCAAGUUUUCCAAACCUCAGUAACCUUCAUUACUUUAUUUAUCUAGAAGCUAUAUUUUAUGAAUUAUAAAAAUUUAGUCGAAUUCGGUCUUACGUAAUUAUGAAAUUCUAAUCAGCUUCUUUACAUAUUGAUAAUAUCGCGAUUAAUUGUUAAGUUUCAUAGUUAAAACUUAAAUUUUUAAAAAGGUUAUGUAUUUUUAUUCUUUCUUUAAAGUUUUAAUUUUUUAUAGUUAUGCCAUUCAUGAGAAUUUAAUCUGUGAGUCAAGUAUAGCAUAGUGAACCACUGGACAAGGUCUGAUGUAGACUGUAAUAUCACAUGUUUUCUCUUUAAAAUCUUACAUUCUAAGCGAUUCACACCAUAGAAAGUUUGGGUAUUGACUCCUAAGCAGAGUCUCAACAAUUAUUUUACAACACAGUUCAAAUGGAAGUUAGAUUAUACAAAUGACGUCAUCUGUAUUGUUGCCAUUUAACCAAUUUUAACGGUGAACACUCUAAAUCUUGUGAAGGAGCUAAUUCCUAGGUUUUCUUUGGUAUGACUUGUUUUCCUAGUAAAAUUCGAAGAACGGAGGCCCAUCACACUGGUGCGGUGGAAGGUGGAAUGACUCUACAAUUUAAAUUUUUAAGAAUUAUAUGGACGACUUUAUACGAAACAGACCUACGUAAAUAUUUUAUUUGUUUAUUUCAUUUAUUCAUUUUUUAAUUUCUCUUUUAUUGUAUUUAUUUUUAUUUAUGGGAAUCAUUUUUGCUAUAAUAGGUGGAUUUAUUUAUGGAUUUCUUUUAACCUUAGGAUUAACUUUAAAUAAUUAUAUUCUGGUUUCUCAAUUUUACACUAUAUUUAUGGGAGUAAAUUUAACAUUUCUUCCUCGGCAUGUUCUUAGUCUUAGGGGGUACCUCAUCGUUACGCUGACUAUCCUGAUUUUUACCUAUUGUGAAAUAAAUUUCUUCUGUGGGAAGAAUUUUGAGUAUCAUUCCUGUUGUUUUUGUUUUGCGCUCGUUAUGAGUUGGAUAAAAACAAUGGAAAGUGUGCGCGAUUCCUUUUGGUGAAAUGGAAAAGCGGGAUUUUAACUUCACCAAACGGAGCUAUGCCCCAACAGUAUGCGGGAAUCAUGAGCCGUGGGCAUGGCAAAAGAGCCUUGUGGACAGAGCUCACGAGUUGAAGACCGCCGCGGAGGACCUUGCGGCUUUGUUGCCGCUGACGUCACUGGCGCUUUCUUAUUCCCAUUCAUUCUCACCGCCCGAGAAAUAACGAACACACCCCAUAUAUCCCACCCGCACAUUGCUCUGUUUGGUGGAAAUACGCCCCUAUGUGUGUAAUAAAGCUAAGAAAUAAUUCCUUUUUGUAACAAAUAUGUCAAUUAAAAAGGAUGUAAGUUAAUAUUUUUAACCUCUCCAACUACACACAGGGCAUACAUUAAACUCUUGUAAAUAUUUUAAAACUUUUUUGACAAACUCACGCUUUGACUAAUUUGUUAGUGAACUGAACACUAAACAAAUUAGUGAAAGCAUGAGUUUUUCAAAAAAGUUUUAAAAGUUUUAAAACAGCUUUUACUGUUUUUCAAAAAUUUCGAUUAUUUUAUUAAAACUUGUAAAUAUGUUUU